This 2281-nucleotide long non-coding RNA is filed under the name Homo sapiens (human). RNAcentral's name for it is "non-protein coding LINC01512:4". The record is from RNAcentral. Lineage: Eukaryota; Metazoa; Chordata; Mammalia; Primates; Hominidae.
GUGCACCUAGCUCAGGAAGCCUUCCUUUCUAGUCUCUACAGCUGUUUCCCUCUUUUCCCAUCUCAUUCUUCCCUCUUCAUUUCUGGCCUAUCUUUUAACAUCUCCAUCCCUUUGAUGCCUCAUCCAUCUCCUCUUCACCGUCUUGUCUUUGCCUGUUCCCUUUUCUGCUUCUCUGCUCCUCUUAAGGCUGGGUUUUCCUCCUGCGUCUCCUCUGUGCGCCUGUGAGUGUCCCCUGUCUGCUCAUCCUCUCUCCCUCUGUCCACCUGUUUCUCUUUCUUCCAGCGUUUCUCCAUCUCACGCGCUGCCUCUGUCAUUUUCUCUCUUUCUUCGUCUUUCUCUCUCUCUCAUUGUUCUGAGACAUAGCAGUGCCUGGCCCAGCGGGGACAACAUGUUUCACAGACAAAUCAUCCAACAAAAGAGAGGAGGAACGUGCUUCAGCUGGCUGUCCCCAUGCCUUCUGCUCCCGCUUCUGGAAGGGAAGACAGGGCAGGGACCAUGUCCAGCUGCAGAAAAUCCCAGUGUUUUUCUGUGGCAUUGCCUGGUAAAGGCUGAACGUGGCUUUCGUGAGAGCUAAUCUGCCUGCCCAACCAGAUUGUGCUGUGGCUAAAAUUGCUGUGAGCUCGACAGUGCCUGAAGACUGGAGAAAACUGAGCCAUGUCUUGGAUGCUCUUGCGGGGCCUAGGGGAGUGCCAGGCCAGAAGGAGAACUGCCUGUGGACUCUCAGUAGGAAAGCAGCUAACGAGGUGAUGAGUGAGUGUCGCCUGGAAGUCUGGGGGCCAUUCCAUGUGGGUCACAUCGCCUGACCAGAGGGUUGGGUGCCUGGACAGGGCUGAGCUUGGGACUCCUUCCAGGGCCUGGCCUCAGCUGCUGGGCCUGCCGAGCAUGCCCCACAAGCACCCACGCACACAUACAAGUAUGGAGGCAGAGUGGAAGUUUGACUUUUGCAGAUCUCGUACAGCCUGGAGUAGAGAAGAGAAUUGGGAACUCUCAAUGUUGUGUGACCCUAGGCAAGUCCCUUCCCUGCCUUGUGCCUCAGUUUCCCUUUACAUACCAUGAGGAUGUUCCCAGUGUUGGUGUUUUAAUGCCUGCAGACAAGCUAAGCUCAUCAUCUGGUUCCCGGAAGAGAUCCUCCUUUUGUGGAAAGGCCACAGCCACUCUGCCACCCUGAGGCUCCCACUCCUCCUUCUCUGGAACCCUCUCCCUUGCCUGUAGGUCACGGGAAUGUCAAGAGCACCCAGGGAAGUGCCUGCUGCCAGUCAUCACUCACUGAUUAUGUGACAGCAGAGGAGCCAAGAAGCUGCUGGGAAUCGAGACACCCCCCCAUUCAGUCCCCACCAUCUCUGUCUUCAUGAGGUUCCCUGGGAGAAGCUCCUAUGUCUGGGAAUGGAAAUGUCUCCACCUGGAUAGGGACAAACAGGAGCUGGGGGCUGCAUCUUAAGACUUCUUGUCCCAUUAGUGCUGACCUCUGGAGACGGCUCCUGAAUUGUGCCCACUCCCCCACCUCCUCACCACACACAUGCUCUGGGCCGUGCGAGGCUCAGCUUGUCACGGACAAGCUAAAAUGAGGUGGCCUGAAUGCCCCUUAUCAUAGACAGCUUAUCUCCUGUGGUCACUCACCUGACAGACUCCAGAGAGCCACUCAGCGGGCCUCUCCCAGCCGCCUGCUUCUCAGCUCUGACUCUCCCUUGCCUUAAGGGGACACUGGAUUCCAGUGACCCUCCUAUUGGUCAGAGUUGGGCUGAGCACAGAGAAGGGGUAGAAUGCUCCUGGGAACUCGGAAAGCUCUGGGAUGCCAGCUUUUCCCACAUGUUCUCACUCACCCCUCUGUAAUACAGAUUCUGCAGCCCUGCCCCCCACACACACACUCCUACACCUCUGCUCUCAAAGUGAAGAAGUAGGCUAAUAUCUGUGGUACAUUUAUUUACCUACUCCCUGAGACUGCAGCUCCCUUAGUCAGUGUUGUGUCCUCCACUCAGGCUGGGGCUCCCUGAGGAUGGGGCUGUGUCUCCCCUCAGACUGGGGUUCCCCAAGGACAGGGCUGUGUCUCUCCUUAGGCUGGGGUCCCUGAGGGUGGGGCUGUGUCUCCCUGCAGAUUGGGGCUCCCUGAGGAUGGGGCUGUGUCUCCCUGAAGACUGGGGCUCCCUGAGGACAGGGCUGUGUCUCCCCUCAGGCUGGGGCUCCUUGAGGAUGGGACACUUUAAAGAAGAGAAAUUGACAGGUUGACCCUGGGGGAUCUUUGGGUCAAUAAAACAUUCUAUAGACCCUCAGUGGUCAGACUAGG